CUGGCCUGCCCAAUGAGGAAUUCAAUGGCCGCAGUAUUUUAACUGUGCUAAGGUAGCAUAAUCACUUGUCUUUUAAUUGAGGGCUGGAAUGAAAGGUUGGACGAGAUAUUAACUUUCUUUAAUUUAGUUUUAAGAAUUUAAUUUUUGAGUUAAAAAGCUCAAAUUUAUUUGUUGGACGAGAAGACCCUAUAGAUCUUUAUAAUUUUAUAUUUUAGUAAUUUGGUGGUUAUACUUACUGUAAGUAAAAGAAUUAUUUUGUUGGGGUGACUGUAGAAUUUUAUUAACUUCUAUUAUAUUAGUUUCAUUGAUUGAUGUUUUUUUGAUCCAUAUUUUUAUGAU
This 339-nucleotide ribosomal RNA is filed under the name Triatoma recurva. RNAcentral's name for it is "partial 16S ribosomal RNA". The stretch from base 1 to 162 matches the Rfam family "Archaeal large subunit ribosomal RNA", at positions 1946 to 2143 of the family's 2987-position model. The record is from RNAcentral. Lineage: Eukaryota; Metazoa; Arthropoda; Insecta; Hemiptera; Reduviidae.